Molecule: ribosomal RNA, 1024 nt
Filed under: Bacillus stratosphericus
Lineage: Bacteria; Bacillati; Bacillota; Bacilli; Caryophanales; Bacillaceae
Description: bacterial SSU rRNA
Rfam family: Bacterial small subunit ribosomal RNA
Source: RNAcentral
CAGCCCUAUACAUGCAAGUCGAGCGGACAGAAGGGAGCUUGCUCCCGGAUGUUAGCGGCGGACGGGUGAGUAACACGUGGGUAACCUGCCUGUAAGACUGGGAUAACUCCGGGAAACCGGAGCUAAUACCGGAUAGUUCCUUGAACCGCAUGGUUCAAGGAUGAAAGACGGUUUCGGCUGUCACUUACAGAUGGACCCGCGGCGCAUUAGCUAGUUGGUGAGGUAACGGCUCACCAAGGCGACGAUGCGUAGCCGACCUGAGAGGGUGAUCGGCCACACUGGGACUGAGACACGGCCCAGACUCCUACGGGAGGCAGCAGUAGGGAAUCUUCCGCAAUGGACGAAAGUCUGACGGAGCAACGCCGCGUGAGUGAUGAAGGUUUUCGGAUCGUAAAGCUCUGUUGUUAGGGAAGAACAAGUGCAAGAGUAACUGCUUGCACCUUGACGGUACCUAACCAGAAAGCCACGGCUAACUACGUGCCAGCAGCCGCGGUAAUACGUAGGUGGCAAGCGUUGUCCGGAAUUAUUGGGCGUAAAGGGCUCGCAGGCGGUUUCUUAAGUCUGAUGUGAAAGCCCCCGGCUCAACCGGGGAGGGUCAUUGGAAACUGGGAAACUUGAGUGCAGAAGAGGAGAGUGGAAUUCCACGUGUAGCGGUGAAAUGCGUAGAGAUGUGGAGGAACACCAGUGGCGAAGGCGACUCUCUGGUCUGUAACUGACGCUGAGGAGCGAAAGCGUGGGGAGCGAACAGGAUUAGAUACCCUGGUAGUCCACGCCGUAAACGAUGAGUGCUAAGUGUUAGGGGGUUUCCGCCCCUUAGUGCUGCAGCUAACGCAUUAAGCACUCCGCCUGGGGAGUACGGUCGCAAGACUGAAACUCAAAGGAAUUGACGGGGGCCCGCACAAGCGGUGGAGCAUGUGGUUUAAUUUCGAAGCAACGCGAAGAACCUUACCAGGUCUUGACAUCCUCUUGAUACCUAGAGAUAGGGCUUUUCCCUUUCGGGGACAGAGUGGACAGGUGGUGCAUG